CCUACGGGGGACAGCAGUGAGGAAUAUUGGUCAAUGGACGAGAGUCUGAACCAGCCAAGUAGCGUGAAGGAUGACUGCCCUAUGGGUUGUAAACUUCUUUUAUAUAGGAAUAAAACGAGGCACGUGUGCCUUUUUGUAUGUACCUUAUGAAUAAGGAUCGGCUAACUCCGUGCCAGCAGCCGCGGUAAUACGGAGGAUCCGAGCGUUAUCCGGAUUUAUUGGGUUUAAAGGGAGCGUAGAUGGGUUGUUAAGUCAGUUGUGAAAGUUUGCGGCUCAACCGUAAAAUUGCAAUUGAUACUGGCAGUCUUGAGUACAGUUGAGGUAGGCGGAAUUCGUGGUGUAGCGGUGAAAUGCUUAGAUAUCACGAAGAACCCCGAUUGCGAAGGCAGCUUACUAAACUGUGACUGACAUUGAUGCUCGAAAGUGUGGGUAUCAAACAGGAUUAGAUACCCGUGUAGUC
Molecule: ribosomal RNA, 460 nt
Filed under: uncultured bacterium
Lineage: Bacteria
Description: partial 16S ribosomal RNA
Rfam family: Bacterial small subunit ribosomal RNA
Source: RNAcentral